This 464-nucleotide ribosomal RNA is filed under the name uncultured bacterium. RNAcentral's name for it is "partial 16S ribosomal RNA". It matches the Rfam family "Bacterial small subunit ribosomal RNA", at positions 339 to 795 of the family's 1533-position model. The record is from RNAcentral.
CUACUGGGUGCUGCAGUGGGGAAUAUUGCACAAUGGGCGCAAGCCUGAUGCAGCCAUGCCGCGUGUAUGAAGAAGGCCUUCGGGUUGUAAAGUACUUUCAGUCGUGAGGAAGGUGGUGCAGUGAAUAGCUGCAUUAUUUGACGUUAGCGACAGAAGAAGCACCGGCUAACUCCGUGCCAGCAGCCGCGGUAAUACGGAGGGUGCGAGCGUUAAUCGGAAUUACUGGGCGUAAAGCGCAUGCAGGUGGUUUGUUAAGUCAGAUGUGAAAGCCCGAGGCUCAACCUCGGAAGGUCAUUUGAAACUGGCAGGCUAGAGUACUGUAGAGGGGGGUAGAAUUUCAGGUGUAGCGGUGAAAUGCGUAGAGAUCUGAAGGAAUACCGGUGGCGAAGGCGGCCCCCUGGACAGAUACUGACACUCAGAUGCGAAAGCGUGGGGAGCAAACAGGAUUAGAUACCCCCGUAGUC